Molecule: ribosomal RNA, 1525 nt
Filed under: Drosophila persimilis
Lineage: Eukaryota; Metazoa; Arthropoda; Insecta; Diptera; Drosophilidae
Description: eukaryotic LSU rRNA
Rfam family: Eukaryotic large subunit ribosomal RNA
Source: RNAcentral
GGUCUCCAAGGUGAAGAGUCUCUAGUCGAUAGAAUAAUGUAGGUAAGGGAAGUCGGCAAAUUAGAUCCGUAACUUCGGGAUAAGGAUUGGCUCUGAAGAUUGAGAUAGUCGGGCUUGAUUGGGAAACAAUAACAUGGUAUGUGCUCGUUCUGGGUAAAUAGAGUUUCUAUCAUUUAUGGUAGUUACUUGUUCCCGGAUAGUUUAGUUACGUAGCCAAUUGUGGAACUUUCUUGCUAAAAUUUUUAAGAAUACUAAUUGGGUUAAACCAGUUAGUUCUUAUUAAUUAUAACGAUUAUCAAUUAACAAUCAAUUCAGAACUGGCACGGACUUGGGGAAUCCGACUGUCUAAUUAAAACAAAGCAUGUGAGGCCCUAGCGGGUGUUGACACAAUGUGAUUUCUGCCCAGUGCUCUGAAUGUCAAAGUGAAGAAAUUCAAGUAAGCGCGGGUCAACGGCGGGAGUAACUAUGACUCUCUUAAGGUAGCCAAAUGCCUCGUCAUCUAAUUAGUGACGCGCAUGAAUGGAUUAACGAGAUUCCUACUGUCCCUAUACUAUCUAGCGAAACCACAGCCAAGGGAACGGGCUUGGAAUAAUUAGCGGGGAAAGAAGACCCUUUUGAGCUUGACUCUAAUCUGGCAGUGUAAGGAGACAUAAGAGGUGUAGCAUAAGUGGGAGAUAUUAGAUUCGGUUUGGUAUCGACAAUGAAAUACCACUACUCUUAUUGUUUCCUUACUUACUUGAUUAAAUGGAAACGUGUAUCAUUCCUAGCCAUUAUACGGAUAUAUUUAUUAUAUCUUAUGGUAUUGGGUUUGAUGCAAGCUUCUUGAUCAAAGUAUCACGAGUUUGUUAUAUAAUCGCAAAAAAUUCUUUAAUGAGAAAAUGCAUUAUGUAUUUUCAAUUGAAAAUUUGGUAUAACUCCAAUACUCAGGUAUGAUCCAAUUCAAGGACAUUGCCAGGUAGGGAGUUUGACUGGGGCGGUACAUCUCUCAAAUAAUAACGGAGGUGUCCCAAGGCCAGCUCAGUGCGGACAGAAACCACACAUAGAGCAAAAGGGCAAAUGCUGACUUGAUCUCGGUGUUCAGUACACACAGGGACAGCAAAAGUCGGCCUAUCGAUCCUUUUGGUUUAAAGAGUUUUAACAAGAGGUGUCAGAAAAGUUACCAUAGGGAUAACUGGCUUGUGGCGGCCAAGCGUUCAUAGCGACGUCGCUUUUUGAUCCUUCGAUGUCGGCUCUUCCUAUCAUUGUGAAGCAAAAUUCACCAAGCGUGGAUUGUUCACCCAUGCAAGGGAACGUGAGCUGGGUUUAGACCGUCGUGAGACAGGUUAGUUUUACCCUACUAAUGACAAAACGUUGUUGCGACAGCAUUCCUGCGUAGUACGAGAGGAACCGCAGGUACGGACCAAUGGCACAAUACUUGUUCGAGCGAACAGUGGUAUGACGCUACGUCCGUUGGAUUAUGCCUGAACGCCUCUAAGGUCGUAUCCGUGCUGGACUGCAAUGAUAAAUAAGGGGCAAUUUGCAUUGU